AUCAGUGGCGAACGGGUGAGUAACACGUGAGCAACCUGCCCCUGACUCCGGGAUAACUCCGAGAAAUCGGUGCUAAUACCGGAUACGAGACGCACAGGCAUCUGUAGCGUCUGGAAAGAACUUCGGUCAGGGAUGGGCUCGCGGCCUAUCAGCUUGUUGGUGGGGUAACGGCCCACCAAGGCGACGACGGGUAGCCGGCCUGAGAGGGCGACCGGCCACACUGGGACUGAGACACGGCCCAGACUCCUACGGGAGGCAGCAGUGGGGAAUAUUGCACAAUGGGCGCAAGCCUGAUGCAGCGACGCCGCGUGGGGGAUGAAGGCCUUCGGGUUGUAAACCCCUUUCAGCAGGGAAGAAGCGAAAGUGACGGUACCUGCAGAAGAAGCGCCGGCUAACUACGUGCCAGCAGCCGCGGUAAUACGUAGGGCGCAAGCGUUGUCCGGAAUUAUUGGGCGUAAAGAGCUCGUAGGCGGUUUGUCGCGUCUGCUGUGAAAACCCGAGGCUCA
This 506-nucleotide ribosomal RNA is filed under the name bacterium EP1.37. RNAcentral's name for it is "bacterial SSU rRNA". It matches the Rfam family "Bacterial small subunit ribosomal RNA", at positions 91 to 611 of the family's 1533-position model. The record is from RNAcentral.